ACUAUUCCGGAUUAUCCCGUCCUUGUACUGAUAUUACAGUAGGAACUAUUAGCGAGUAACUGCAAAAACUUACGUGGUAAAGCAAGACCCGGACACGUUGAAGCUAAUA
RNAcentral lists this non-coding RNA (109 nucleotides) under unclassified sequences. RNAcentral describes it as "EGFOA RNA". It matches the Rfam family "EGFOA RNA". The record is from Rfam by way of RNAcentral.